Molecule: long non-coding RNA, 952 nt
Organism: Carcharodon carcharias (great white shark)
Lineage: Eukaryota; Metazoa; Chordata; Chondrichthyes; Lamniformes; Lamnidae
Exons: 2
Source: RefSeq, a predicted model, not a curated record
ACAGCAGUACUAGAGACUGAUGUGAUGCGCAACAGAACCAGUUCAAACUGUUCCUUCUUGUUGUACAAUAAAGCAUGGUUUUGAAAGACUACCAUUGGUGAAUCAGCUCUGGGCAGUAAUAUUAAAACAGGCUCCAUCUGUCCCAACAACAAAUUGCAGGAAAAAGAAAGGAUUGCAUUUAUAUAGUGCCUUCCAUAACCUCAGGAUCCCCUAAGCACUUUACUAAGUAUUUUUGAAGACCAGUCACUGCUGAAAUGUAGAAACAUAGCAUCAUAUUAGCGCGCUCCAAGCUCCCACAAACCGGGUAAUAAAUGACCAGGUAAUUUGUGGCAUUGGCUGAGAGUUAAAUAUUGGCCAGAUCACCGGGGAGAACUCCCCUGCUCUUCUUCAAAAUAGGGCUGUUGGAUCAUUUACAUUGACCUGAGAGGGGAGACACAUCCUUGGUUUACCACCUCACCCGAAAGAUAGCACCUUUGACAGUGCAGCACUCCCUCAAAAUUGCACUGGAGUGCCAGCCUGAACUGUGUGUUUGAGUUUCUCGACUGCGACUUGAUACCUACAAUUUUUGAACUCACAACCAAGAGCACUACCACUGGUCAUGAAAAAAUGGACAUCCAAGCCUGCCAUUGGAACAGUGGAGAAGGAUUUAAGUUGCAGCUAUAUUGGUUUCAGUAAGGGUGCUGACCUCAGUGUGAACUAACAUAUGGGCCUCACACAUAGCCAACUGCAGACCCAAAGGAAACAUGUUAGAUUCUCUAUGGCCUGAAGCCAACCAAGAAGGACCAGUUUCGAACAGUGUAUCACAACAGCAGAUCUUGUCGGGAAUAUGAAAAAUGUAUUCUGCAAUGUCCACAUGGUGAAGAGCUAUUAACCCCAGUGGUCUAUUGACCCCGAGCUAAUUAGUGCUCACAGUCUAUAACCCUGAAUGUAAUAAACCAAAGAUAAUAUCAAA